Molecule: ribosomal RNA, 202 nt
Filed under: uncultured soil bacterium
Lineage: Bacteria
Description: partial 16S ribosomal RNA
Rfam family: Bacterial small subunit ribosomal RNA
Source: RNAcentral
CAGAUUGAACGCUGGCGGCAGGCCUAACACAUGCAAGUCGAGCGGCAGCACGGGUACUUGUACCUGGUGGCGAGCGGCGGACGGGUGAGUAAUGCCUAGGAAUCUGCCUGGCAGUGGGGGACAACGUUUCGAAAGGAACGCUAAUACCGCAUACGUCCUACGGGAGAAAGCAGGGGACCUUCGGGCCUUGCGCUAAUAGAUG